RNAcentral lists this ribosomal RNA (492 nucleotides) under uncultured bacterium. RNAcentral describes it as "partial 16S ribosomal RNA". It matches the Rfam family "Bacterial small subunit ribosomal RNA", at positions 29 to 507 of the family's 1533-position model. The record is from RNAcentral.
AGUGAACGCUGGCGGUAGGCCUAGCACAUGCAAGUCGAACGGCAGCACAGUAAGAGCUUGCUCUUACGGGUGGCGAGUGGCGGACGGGUGAGGAAUACAUCGGAAUCUACUUUUUCGUGGGGGAUAACGUAGGGAAACUUACGCUAAUACCGCAUACGACCUACGGGUGAAAGCAGGGGAUCUUCGGACCUUGCGCGAUUGAAUGAGCCGAUGUCGGAUUAGCUAGUUGGCGGGGUAAAGGCCCACCAAGGCGACGAUCCGUAGCUGGUCUGAGAGGAUGAUCAGCCACACUGGAACUGAGACACGGUCCAGACUCCUACGGGAGGCAGCAGUGGGGAAUAUUGGACAAUGGGCGCAAGCCUGAUCCAGCCAUACCGCGUGGGUGAAGAAGGCCUUCGGAUUGUAAAGCCCUUUUGUUGGGAAAGAAAAGCAGCGGGUUAAUACCCCGCUGUUCUGACGGUACCCAAAGAAUAAGCACCGGCUAACUUCGUG